UAGGGAAUAUUGGGCAAUGGGUGCAAGCCUGACCCAGCCAUGCCGCGUGCCGGAAGACGGCCCUAUGGGUUGUAAACGGCUUUUAUACAGGAACAAAAACAGGGAUGCGUCCUUGACUGAGGGUACUGUAUGAAUCAGCACCGGCUAACUCCGUGCCAGCAGCCGCGGUAAUACGGAGGAUGCAAGCGUUAUUCGGAAUUAUUGGGCGUAAAGCGUCCGCAGGUGGUGCCUCAAGUCUGCUGUCAAAGACCGAAGCUCAACUUCGGGCAGGCAGUGGAAACUGAAGCACUAGAGUACGGUAGGGGUAGAGGGAAUUUCCAGUGUAGCGGUGAAAUGCGUAGAGAUUGGAAAGAACACCAGUGGCGAAGGCGCUCUACUGGACCGUAACUGACACUCAGGGACGAAAGCUAGGGGAGCGAAAGGGAUUAGAUACCCCCGUAGUCC
RNAcentral lists this ribosomal RNA (444 nucleotides) under uncultured prokaryote. RNAcentral describes it as "bacterial SSU rRNA". It matches the Rfam family "Bacterial small subunit ribosomal RNA", at positions 355 to 796 of the family's 1533-position model. The record is from RNAcentral.